RNAcentral lists this ribosomal RNA (419 nucleotides) under uncultured bacterium. RNAcentral describes it as "partial 16S ribosomal RNA". It matches the Rfam family "Bacterial small subunit ribosomal RNA", at positions 355 to 769 of the family's 1533-position model. The record is from RNAcentral.
UGGGGAAUUUUGGACAAUGGGCGAAAGCCUGAUCCAGCAAUGCCGCGUGUGUGAAGAAGGCCUUCGGGUUGUAAAGCACUUUUGUCCGGAAAGAAAUCCUUGGCUCUAAUACAGUCGGGGGAUGACGGUACCGGAAGAAUAAGCACCGGCUAACUACGUGCCAGCAGCCGCGGUAAUACGUAGGGUGCAAGCGUUAAUCGGAAUUACUGGGCGUAAAGCGUGCGCAGGCGGUUUGCUAAGACCGAUGUGAAACCCCGGCUCAACCUGGAACUGCAUUGGUGACUGGCAGGCUAGAGUAUGGCAGAGGGGGGUAGAAUUCCACGUGUAGCAGUGAAAUGCGUAGAGAUGUGGAGGAAUACCGAUGGCGAAGGCAGCCCCCUGGGCCAAUACUGACGCUCAUGCACGAAAGCGUGGGGAGC